Maylandia zebra (zebra mbuna) is the source of this 125-nucleotide non-coding RNA. The record is from RefSeq and is a predicted model, not a curated record. NCBI's taxonomy places the organism in Eukaryota, Metazoa, Chordata, Actinopteri, Cichliformes, Cichlidae.
GUCGAGCAGCCAACUCUACGUUUUUGAGACCACAUCUAUUCGGCAUUUCACCAGGAGUCAGCUGAUGGAUUGUGGGUUCAAGGUGUUAUGAUAAAAUGCAGCAUUCCAGUGCAUCCCAACCAUGC